UGGCAUAUAGCUCAAUUGGCAGAGCCCUCGGCUGUUAACCGAGAGGUUGAAGGUCCGAGUCCUUCUAUGCCAGCAA
This 76-nucleotide transfer RNA is filed under the name Mycobacteroides chelonae. RNAcentral describes it as "tRNA-Asn". It matches the Rfam family "tRNA". Rfam says of the family: Transfer RNA (tRNA) molecules are approximately 80 nucleotides in length. Their secondary structure includes four short double-helical elements and three loops (D, anti-codon, and T loops). Further hydrogen bonds mediate the characteristic L-shaped molecular structure. tRNAs have two regions of fundamental functional importance: the anti-codon, which is responsible for specific mRNA codon recognition, and the 3' end, to which the tRNAs corresponding amino acid is attached (by aminoacyl-tRNA synthetases). tRNAs cope with the degeneracy of the genetic code in two manners: having more than one tRNA (with a specific anti-codon) for a particular amino acid; and 'wobble' base-pairing, i.e. permitting non-standard base-pairing at the 3rd anti-codon position. The record is from RNAcentral. Lineage: Bacteria; Bacillati; Actinomycetota; Actinomycetes; Mycobacteriales; Mycobacteriaceae.